This 253-nucleotide ribosomal RNA is filed under the name uncultured bacterium. RNAcentral describes it as "partial 16S ribosomal RNA". It matches the Rfam family "Bacterial small subunit ribosomal RNA", at positions 524 to 776 of the family's 1533-position model. The record is from RNAcentral.
GACGAACCGUCCUAACGUUGUUCGGAAUCACUGGGCUUAAAGGGCGCGUAGGCGGCUUGCCAAGUCAGGGGUGAAAUCCUGCAGCUUAACUGUAGAAGGGCCUUUGAUACUGGCGAGCUCGAGGGAGGUAGGGGUAUGUGGAACUUCCGGUGGAGCGGUGAAAUGCGUUGAUAUCGGAAGGAACGCCGGUGGCGAAAGCGGUCCGCUGGGUCCCUACUGACGCUGAGGCGCGAAAGCCAGGGGAGCAAACGGG